GAUGAACGCUGGCGGCGUGCUUAACACAUGCAAGUCGAACGGAAAGGCCCAAGCUUGCUUGGGUGCUCGAGUGGCGAACGGGUGAGUAACACGUGGGUGAUCUGCCCUGCACUUUGGGAUAAGCCUGGGAAACUGGGUCUAAUACCGGAUAGGACCAUCGUUUAGUGUCGGUGGUGGAAAGUUUUUCGGUGUGGGAUGAGCUCGCGGCCUAUCAGCUUGUUGGUGGGGUAAUGGCCUACCAAGGCGUCGACGGGUAGCCGGCCUGAGAGGGUGUACGGCCACAUUGGGGCUGAGAGACGGCCCAGACGCCGACGGGAGGCAGCAGUGGGGAAUAUUGCACAAUGGGCGCAAGCCUGAUGCAGCGACGCCGCGUGGGGGAUGACGGCCUUCGGGUUGUAAACUCCUUUCGCCAAGGACGAAGCGUUUUGUGACGGUACUUGGAGAAGAAACACCGGCUAACUACGUG
RNAcentral lists this ribosomal RNA (466 nucleotides) under uncultured bacterium. RNAcentral's name for it is "partial 16S ribosomal RNA". It matches the Rfam family "Bacterial small subunit ribosomal RNA", at positions 28 to 507 of the family's 1533-position model. The record is from RNAcentral.